GAAGAAGAAGAAAGAAAAAAGAAAAAGAGACGAAUGAUUGAAUUCGACAACAGCAACAAAACACACAUGAUCCUCCUGUCGUGAUUCAUCUCUUGUGUGUGUAUGUGUUUUUGUUUUCAAUCGUAGCUU
RNAcentral lists this non-coding RNA (129 nucleotides) under Striatella unipunctata. The record is from RNAcentral. Lineage: Eukaryota; Bacillariophyta; Striatellaphyceae; Striatellales; Striatellaceae.